AGGAAAUAGAUACCCUGGUAGUCCUUGCCGUAAACUAUGUAUACUUGGUGUAACCGGACUCAACCCUGGUUGUGCCGAAAGCUAAACGCGAUAAGUAUACCGCCUGGGGAGUACGCUCGCAAGGGUGAAACUCAAAAGAAUUGACGGGGACCCGCACAAGCAGUGGAGCAUGUGGUUUAAAUUCGAUGCAACGCGAAGAACCUUACCCAGGCUUGACAUGCAGUGGACGAUAGCAGAAAUGUUAUUUCCCUUCGGGGCCGCUGCACAGGUGCUGCAUGGCUGUCGUCAGCUCGUGCCGUGAGGUGUUGGGUUAAAGUCCCGCAACGAGCGCAACCCUUAUCAUUAGUUGCCAACACGUAAUGGUGGGAACUCUAAUGAGACUGCCUGGGGUUAACCAGGAGGAAGGUGAGGAUGACGUCAAGUCCGCAUGGCCCUUAUGUCUGGGGCGUACACACGUGCUACAAUGGCCGGUACAGAAGGCAGCGAAACUGUGAAGUGAAGCAAAUCCCUAAAGCCGG
This 518-nucleotide ribosomal RNA is filed under the name uncultured bacterium. Its description in RNAcentral is "bacterial SSU rRNA". It matches the Rfam family "Bacterial small subunit ribosomal RNA", at positions 774 to 1285 of the family's 1533-position model. The record is from RNAcentral.